CCUAACACAUGCAAGUCGAACGGUAACAGGAAGAAGCUUGCUUCUUUGCUGACGAGUGGCGGACGGGUGAGUAAUGUCUGGGAAACUGCCUGAUGGAGGGGGAUAACUACUGGAAACGGUAGCUAAUACCGCAUAACGUCGCAAGACCAAAGAGGGGGACCCUCGGGCCUCUUGCCAUCGGAUGUGCCCAGAUGGGAUUAGCUUGUUGGUGGGGUAACGGCUCACCAAGGCGACGAUCCCUAGCUGGUCUGAGAGGAUGACCAGCCACACUGGAACUGAGACACGGUCCAGACUCCUACGGGAGGCAGCAGUGGGGAAUAUUGCACAAUGGGCGCAAGCCUGAUGCAGCCAUGCCGCGUGUAUGAAGAAGGCCUUCGGGUUGUAAAGAAG
Molecule: ribosomal RNA, 390 nt
Filed under: uncultured bacterium
Lineage: Bacteria
Description: bacterial SSU rRNA
Rfam family: Bacterial small subunit ribosomal RNA
Source: RNAcentral